GAUAUGGGACAAGGGGCGAAAGCCUAAUGCAGCAACGCCGCGUGAGUGAUGAAGGACUUCGGGUCGUAACGCUCUUUGAUCAGGGAUGAUAAUGACAAUACCUGAAAAACCAGCUACUGCUAACUACGUGCCAGCAUCCGCGGUAAUACGUAGGUGGCGAGCGUUGUCCGGAAUUACUGGGCGUAAAGGAUGCGUAGGUGGAUACUUAAGUGGGAUGUGAAAUCCCCGGGCUCAACCCGGGAACUGCAUUCCAAACUGGGUAUCUAGAGUGCAGGAGAGGAAAGCGGAAUUCCUAGUGUAGCGGUGAAAUGCGUAGAUAUUAGGAGGAACACCAGUGGCGAAGGCGGCUUUCUGGACUGUAACUGACACUGAGGCAUGAAAGCGUGGGUAGCAAACAG
This 398-nucleotide ribosomal RNA is filed under the name uncultured bacterium. RNAcentral describes it as "partial 16S ribosomal RNA". It matches the Rfam family "Bacterial small subunit ribosomal RNA", at positions 359 to 775 of the family's 1533-position model. The record is from RNAcentral.